GGGCUUCGGCCCUGAGUAGAGCGGCAAACGGGUGAGUAACACGUGGGUGACCUGCCUUCGAGUGGGGGAUAACGUCCCGAAAGGGACGCUAAUACCGCAUGACAUCCUGCCUUUGGAAAGGCGGAGAUCAAAGCCGGGGAUCGCAAGACCUGGCGCUUGAAGAGGGGCCCGCGCCUGAUUAGCUAGUUGGUGGGGUAAUGGCUCACCAAGGCCACGAUCAGUAGCCGGCCUGAGAGGGCGGACGGCCACACUGGGACUGAGACACGGCCCAGACUCCUACGGGAGGUAGCAGUGGGGAAUUGUUCGCAAUGGGCGCAAGCCUGACGACGCAACGCCGCGUGGAGGACGAAGAUCUUCGGGUCGUAAACUCCUGUCGAGCGGGAAGAACACCUUCCGGGUGAAUAUCCAGGAGGGCUGACGGUACCGCUAAAGGAAGCCCCGGCUAACUCCGUGCCAGCAGCCGCGGUAAUACGGGGGGGGCAAGCGUUG
This 489-nucleotide ribosomal RNA is filed under the name uncultured bacterium. RNAcentral describes it as "bacterial SSU rRNA". It matches the Rfam family "Bacterial small subunit ribosomal RNA", at positions 75 to 543 of the family's 1533-position model. The record is from RNAcentral.